This 254-nucleotide ribosomal RNA is filed under the name uncultured bacterium. RNAcentral describes it as "partial 16S ribosomal RNA". It matches the Rfam family "Bacterial small subunit ribosomal RNA", at positions 524 to 776 of the family's 1533-position model. The record is from RNAcentral.
GACGUAGGGGGCGAGCGUUGUCCGGAUUUAUUGGGCGUAAAGGGUUCGCAGGCGGCUGAGUAAGUCAGGUGUGAAAUCUCCAGGCUCAACCUGGAGCGGCCACCUGAUACUGCUCUGGCUAGAGUCCGGUAGGGGCGCACGGAAUACCCGGUGUAGCGGUGAAAUGCUUAGAUAUCGGGUGGAACACCAGUGGCGAAGGCGGUGCGCUGGGCCGGAACUGACGCUCAUGAACGAAAGCGUGGGUAGCAAACAGG